AGAGUUUGAUCCCUGGCUCAGGACGAACGCUGGCGGCGUGCUUAACACAUGCAAGUCGAGCGGUAAGGCCACUUCGGUGGUACACGAGCGGCGAACGGGUGAGUAACACGUGAGCAACCUGCCCUUCUCUUCGGAAUAAGCGUUGGAAACGACGUCUAAUGCCGAAUAUGACUUCCUUUUGCAUGAUUGGAAGUGGAAAGCUCCGGCGGAGAGGGAUGGGCUCGCGGCCUAUCAGCUAGUUGGUGUGGGUAAUGGCCCACCAAGGCGACGACGGGUAGCCGGCCUGAGAGGGUGACCGGCCACACUGGGACUGAGACACGGCCCAGACUCCUACGGGAGGCAGCAGUGGGGAAUAUUGGACAAUGGGCGAAAGCCUGAUCCAGCAACGCCGCGUGAGGGAUGACGGCCUUCGGGUUGUAAACCUCUUUCAGCGGGGACGAAGCGAAAGUGACGGACCCGCA
This 461-nucleotide ribosomal RNA is filed under the name Aeromicrobium sp. iMCIII6. Its description in RNAcentral is "bacterial SSU rRNA". It matches the Rfam family "Bacterial small subunit ribosomal RNA", at positions 8 to 483 of the family's 1533-position model. The record is from RNAcentral. Lineage: Bacteria; Bacillati; Actinomycetota; Actinomycetes; Propionibacteriales; Nocardioidaceae.